UUGACUGUAACUCUAAAUGUGGUGUGCGAUAUUGAUAUACAACAAUGUUCAUAUACGCUUUGUGAUUUUUUAACUUCUAUUUAACUAGCAUUACUUUUGGCGACAUGAAGAGCUAUAUUUUUUGGCAGCCAGAGAUCUUGGCAUCUUGUUUCUACAUUAAAGAUCCUGGUUAUAUAAAGAAAGGUUUGGGCAGCAAUACUGAUGCUGAGGAUCCUUUAUUGAACACUGAUUUGGAUAGUUGGAUGCGAAACUGGACUCAACUGUGCCCUACUUGCAAGAUAUAAGACCCGUUCGCUCCAAGCACUGUCCUACAUACAAACGCUGCCUGGAAUAGUUUGAUUAUCAUUGCCCCUGGAUCUCAAAUUGUGUGG
Olea europaea var. sylvestris is the source of this 371-nucleotide long non-coding RNA. RefSeq lists it as uncharacterized. The record is from RefSeq and is a predicted model, not a curated record. The transcript has 4 exons. Lineage: Eukaryota; Viridiplantae; Streptophyta; Magnoliopsida; Lamiales; Oleaceae.